RNAcentral lists this long non-coding RNA (1440 nucleotides) under Nicotiana benthamiana. Its description in RNAcentral is "long non-coding RNA (NBEN_LNC039484)". Lineage: Eukaryota; Viridiplantae; Streptophyta; Magnoliopsida; Solanales; Solanaceae. The record is from RNAcentral.
ACAGUUCUCACGGUGCAUGCCCGCGCGUCCGUUACCUAGCAUGUGCGUCAUCUCCACACCAAUCGUAUAACAUGAAAUUCAGGGUUUCAUACCCUCAGAACCAAAUUUAGAAGUGUUACUUACCUCAAACUGUGCAAAUCCCUACACCGACAAGUCCUUGCCUCGCGAAACGGCCUCCCAAUGCCUCGAAUUUAGCCACAAACAGUUCGAUACAAUCAACACGAGCUAAAGGAAUCAAUUCUAUAAGAAAAUACUAAGUUCUAAAUCAAAAGUAAAAAAGUCAACUCAAAAGUCACCCCGACGCCCAUGUCUCGGAAUCUAACAAAAGUCCCAAAAUUCAGAAGCUUAUUCAACCACGAGUCCUAUCAUACCAAAUUUACCAAAACUCCCCAAAUUCCUAUCCUCAAUUCCCAAAAUUACACCUCAAUGCGGGAAAUGCAAUAGGAAAACAUAAUUAUUGAUUAAAAAUAAGCACAAGUGACUUACCUCAAGAAUCCCUCUCAAAAAUUGCCUAAUCCCGAGCUUGUAAUGUCCAAAAUGAUGAAAAAUCAUGAAACCCUCGAUUUAAAUACACUGCCUAGGCUUUCCGCACAUGUGAUGACUUAACUGCAUUUGCAGGGUUGCAGAAGCGACAACUCUCCCGUGUCUGCGAUAAACCACUGGAAACCCAGCCUUCGCACCUGGGGAACAUGCUACGCUUCUGCACAAAUGCAGUGUGACCUCGUUUUCACUCCUGCACUGACCCCUCGCUCCUGCGCUCAACCUCACGUCACAUGCGACCAUGCAGGUGCGGACAAUCCUUCAAACCUGCGACCACUGCAUUCCUCUCUCAUGGACGCACCUGCGCUUCCUUGCUCGCACCUACGAUUAAAGCUCCACAUGUGCGAUUGCCCCAGAACUGGUGCUUAAACAAUCACUGGCCAUAACUCCACUCGAGGCCCUUGGGACCUUAACCAAAAAUAUGAACAAGUCCUAAAAUACGACACAAACUUAGUUGAGCCUUCAAAUCAUAUCAAACAAUGCUAAAACUACGAAUCGCACAUCGAUUCAAGUCUAACGAACUUUUGAACUUCCAACUUUCACAUCUAAUGCUGAAAUAUAUCAAAUCACGUCUGAUUGACAUCAAAUUUUGCGCACGUCACAAAAAACACGACGCACCUAAUCCAAGUAUUGAAACCCAAUUCAAGCCCUAUAACCAUAAAGUCCCCUCUUGGUCAAACUUCAAAAUUUUUAACUUUCAUCAUUUCAAGCCUAAUUCAACUGCGGACCUCCAAUUCAAAAUCCAGACACACUCCUAAGUCCAAAACACCCAAAGCAGAUCACGAAACCAUAAAAACUCCAUUUUGGAGUCGUUUGCACAUAAGUUAAUAUCCGAUCAACCUAUUCAACUUGAGCUUCCAUCUUGGAGACUAAGUGUCUCAACUCAUUCUGAAAUCUCCC